Molecule: RNA transcript, 5619 nt
Organism: Corvus hawaiiensis (hawaiian crow)
Lineage: Eukaryota; Metazoa; Chordata; Aves; Passeriformes; Corvidae
Gene: ATP13A2
Gene name: ATPase cation transporting 13A2
Exons: 29
Source: RefSeq, a predicted model, not a curated record
GAUGGAGGGAUGGAGGGAUGGAUGAUGGAUGGACAGACUGACGGACAGAUGGUGCUGCCCAGGGAGCCCUGACCAUCCAGCGGGAGCCACAGGAGUGAAAGGACAUCUCUGCGCCCCUUGGGGUUGGUUUCCUUCCGAAAGGGGCUUGGGAAGGGCUGUGGGAGCUGGCGGAGAAGUCCCUGGGAGCAGCAUCCAUCCCUUUUCCAUGUGCACGUCCGCUGGGGAUGGGGGCUGCAUCUCAGAGCCAAAUCCUGGGAUAGGAUCUGGCAUUCCCGGCCGAUCCCCAGCCAGGCUUUGGAUCACGAUCCUAUCCCGGCUUCCAGCUCCGCGUUCCGGAGUCGGAGGGUUCCUCCCCCCUGCCAGGACCUGUGGUGGAUGUGGGAGCACCCGGAGCAGCCUCUUCCCAGAUCUCCCCCAGAGAGGACGGGGCAGGGCCUGGACUCGGAGCCGGGCAGCUGCGGGGAAUUCCAGCUGGGAUUUUGGCCGUGCAAAUCCGUCAUCAGUGCGGGAUCCCAGCUCCCCUCGUCCCCGGACAAGCCGGGCCGGUGCAUCGCUGACCCUGUCCGAGAUUCCAGCCUCUCCUGGCUGUUAUCCCCUCUCGAAUCCCUGUUUUUCGCGGCGGGGAGGGAAGCAGAGAGCGGAGCUCUCCGCAGGGCUCCGGGGACGAUUCCCUGGAUGCGAGGGCGGAGGAGGCACAUCCAGGAGCCCCCGCGCCGUGUUUGCCGGCGAGGAGUGGCCUCGGUGCCGCGAUUCCCAACGCUCCCGAUGCUGCCCGGACGCGGCCGCGGCUGGGCCGGGGAUGGCGGCGCUGCCGAUCCCGUCCCGGCCGAUCCCGCCCCGGCCGAUCCCGUCCCCAGCGGGAACGGCGGGAUGAGGCGGGACAGCAGCCGGCUCCUGGGGGCCCCGCGCCCGGGCUACGGGACGCUGCAGCCGGACACGGACCCGUCCCGCAUGGAGGUCACGGGCUACCAGACCAGGACGUGGCGGGUGCUGCUGUGCCACGCGGGCUCCGUGCUGAGCGCGGGGCUGCUCCUGCUGCUCUUCCACUGGAAGCCGAGCCUGGAAGUGCAGGCCAAGUGCAAACCCUGCACCCUGGGCCAGGCGGACUGGCUCCUCAUCAGGGACCGCUUCGGGCGGUGCUUCACCGCCAAGGUGCUGACGGAGCCGCUGGGCGAGGGCAGCCUGGAGCAGCAGCCCGGGCCGCGGCCGGAGGACCGCCGGAGCAGCAUCGCCGUCGGCGUGGCGGACGAGGAGGAGAGCCGCGACACCGUCCGGCUGCACGACAAGGAGGAGAAGAACGUCCUGAGGUAUUACCUCUUCCAGGGAAUGCGCUACGUCUGGCUGGAGCGGCGGCAGGCCUUCUGCAGAGUCAGCGUGCUGGACGAGGGCCGGAGCUGCGCGGAGCUGCACCUCUGCCGGGCCGGGCUGGAGCUGCAGGAGCACAGCACCAGAAGGAGGAUCUACGGCCCCAACCUCAUCGAGGUGCCCGUCAAGUCCUACGCCCGGCUCCUGGUGGAGGAGGUGCUCAAUCCCUUCUACAUCUUCCAAGUGCUCAGCAUGGUGCUCUGGGUGUGCGAUGCCUACUACUACUACGCCGCCUGCAUCUUCCUCAUCUCCACCUUCUCCCUGGGGCUGUCCCUCUACGAGACGCGCAAGCAAAGCACCACCCUGCGGAACAUGGCCAGGAUGUCGGUGGGGGUCCGGGUCCGGCGGCCCAGCGGAGAGGAGCUGGUGCUGAGCUCGGCGGAGCUGGUGCCGGGCGACUGCAUCCGGCUGCCCGCGGACGGGGCGCUGCUGCUGCCCUGCGACGCCGCGCUGCUGACCGGCGAGUGCAUGGUCAACGAGAGCCUGCUGACCGGGGAGAGCGUGCCGGUGAUGAAGACGCCGCUGCCGGCGGGUGGGCAGGCGGCCGGAGCCGCGUACUGCCCCGAGGAGCACCGGCGGCACACGCUGUUCUGCGGGACACAGGUCAUCCAGGCCAGGGCCUACGCGGGCACGGACGUGCUGGCCGUGGUCACCCGCACAGGGUUCUGCACGGCCAAGGGGGACCUCAUCAGCUCCAUCCUUUACCCCAAACCCGUGAGCUUCAAGUUCUACAAGGACGCUGUGAAGUUCGUGAUGUUCCUGGCUGUCCUGGCGCUCAUCGGCACCGUGUACAGCAUCCUCAUCCUGGUUAGGAACCAGGUCCCCGUGGGACAAAUCAUCAUCCGCGCCCUGGACCUGGUCACCGUCAUCGUGCCGCCGGCGCUGCCGGCCGCCAUGACCGUGGGCACCAUCUACGCCCAGAACCGGCUGAAGAAGCAGGGCAUCUUCUGCAUCAGCCCGCCCCGCAUCAACCUGGCCGGGAAGCUGCGCCUGGUCUGCUUCGACAAGACGGGGACGCUGACCGAGGAGGGGCUGGACGUGUGGGGUGUGGUGCCCCUGGAGGGACAGCGCUUCCUGCCCAUGGUGCGUGAGCCCCGCUGCCUGCCCGCCGGGGCCCUGCUCUACGCGCUGGCCGCGUGCCACGCCGUGUCGCCGCUGCGGGGACAGCUCGUCGGGGACCCCGUGGACCUCAAGAUGCUGGAAUCCACCGGCUGGCGCCUGGAGAUGACGGAAGAGGAGGAAGGGGAGCUCCCGGCGUCCCAGCAGUUCGGGAUGAAGGUCUUGGCUGUGGUGAGACCUCCGCCGGAGGAGGAGCAGCCGCGGGACAGGAAGCACCAGGCCCCCGUGGGGAUCCUGCGGCGUUUCCCGUUCUCCUCCUCCUUCCAGAGGAUGAGCGUCCUGGUGAAGCUGCCCGGGGAAGCCUCGGCCCACGCCUACGUCAAGGGCGCCCCGGAGAUGGUGGCCAGUCUGUGCAGGAAGGAAACUGUGCCCCCGGAUUUCUCCCGGAUGCUCCGGCUCUACACCACCGACGGGUUCCGGGUGCUGGCCCUGGCCUGCAAAGCCCUGGGCACAGUGGCCACCUUCGAGGAGGCCCUGCAGCUCCCCAGGGACUCCGUGGAGAGCGGCCUGAGCUUCCUGGGCUUCCUGGUGAUGAAGAACGUCCUGAAGCCGGAGUCGGCUCCGGUGAUCCACCUGCUGAGGAGCGCCAACAUCCGCCCCGUCAUGGUGACAGGGGACAACAUGCUGACAGCCAUGAACGUGGCACGCGGGUGCCGCAUGGUGGAGCCCAGGGAGGGCGUGAUCUUCGUCACGGCCUCGCCGCCCGGCCACGGCAAACCCGCCGCCCUCAAGUUCGUCCUGGCCGAGCAUUCCCAGGGCGAGGAGCAGCCCGAGGGCCUGCAGCAGCAGCAGCGCGACGGCUCCUCCCUCCCGCCCCGGCACUGCCACUUCGCCCUCAACGGGAAAUCCUUCCAGGUGGUCUGUGAGCACUUCGCCGACCUCCUGCCCAGGCUACUGCGUGGGGAUGUGCGGGGAUGGUGCCAACGACUGCGGGGCGCUGCGGGCGGCCGACGUGGGCAUCUCCCUGUCCGAGGCCGAGGCGUCCGUGGCCUCGCCCUUCACCUCCCGCGUGGCCACCAUCGAGUGCGUGCCCAGGGUCAUCCGGGAGGGCCGGUGCUCCUUGGUCACCUCCUUCGGGGUCUUCAAGUACAUGGCCCUGUACAGCCUGGUGCAGUUCGUGUCCGUGCUGCUGCUCUACACCAUCAACACCAACCUGAGCGAUUUCCAGUUCCUCUUCUUCGACCUGGUCAUCACCACCACGGUGGCCGUGCUGAUGGGGCGCACGGGGCCGGCGCCGGCGCUGGGCGUGCGGCGCCCGCAGGGGGCCCUGAUCAGCGGCCUGGUGCUGGGCAGCCUCGUGCUGCAGACGGCGCUGCUCGUCGCCGUGCAGGUCCUCAGCUACUUCGUCACCGUCUCGCAGAGCUGGUUCGUGCCCCUGAACAGCACGGUGACGGCGCCCCAGAACCUGCCCAACUACGAGAACACCGUCCUGUUCUGCGUCAGCGGCUUCCAGUACCUCAUCCUGGCCGUGGCCAUGUCCAAGGGACACCCCUUCCGAGAGCCGCUCUACACCAACGUGCUCUUCCUGCUCGUGCUCGUCCUGCUCUUCGGCCUGAUGAUCUGGCUGACCCUGUACCCGCUGGGCUUCCCCAAAUCCCUGCUGAAGCUCCAGGCCAUCGAGGAUUUCAACUUCAAGCUGCUCCUCCUGGGCAUCGCCGCCCUCAACUUCUUCGCCGCCUUCGUGCUGGAGACCGCCCUGGAUCACGGCUUGCUCGGCUGCUUCCGAAGGCUGCGCCGGAAAAAAGCCUCCAAGAAGCUUUUCAAGAGGCUGGAGAAGGAGCUGAGCCAGCAGCAGCCGGGCUGGCCGCCCCUGGACCAGCCGCUGUUCGCCACGCCCAGGAUGUCCCUCGCCGUGAGAUAGCAGUGCCAGCCGUGCCCGCCUGCCCCCGCCUCAGACACUUCCUUAAUUUAUUGAUCCCAGAAAAAGCAGGGAUGUGGCAGGCGGGCGGGAUCCCUCGGCAUCGCGGACAUGAAUCCCAUGGCCACGGUGCUCCCAUGGCCACACUGAUCCCAUGGCCACAGUGGUCCCACAGCUACAGCCCAUGGCCACGGUGCUCCCAUGGCCACACUGAUCCCAUGGCCACAGUGGUCCCAUGGCCACGGUGGUCCCAUGGCUACGGCCCAUGGCCACACUGAUCCCACGGCCAUGCUGACCCCAUGGCCAUGGUGGUCCCAUGGCUAUGGCCCAUGGCCACACUGAUCCCACGGCCACACUGAUCCCAUGGCCACGGUGGUCCCAUGACCACGGUGGUCCCAUGGCUACGGCCCAUGGCCACACUGAUCCCACGCCCACACUGAUCCCACGCCCAUACUGAUCCCAUGGCCACGGUGGUCCCAUGGCUACAGCCCAUGGCCACGCUGACCCCAUGGCCAUGGUGCUCCCACGGCCACUCUGACCCCAUGGCCAUGCUGAUCCCAUGGCCAUGGUGGUCCCAUGGCUACGGCCCAUGGCCACGCUGACCCCAUGGCCAUGGUGGUCCUAUGGCCAUGCUGAUCCCACGGCGACACUGAUCCAUCCCGUGGCCACGCUGACCCCAUGGCCAUGGUGGUCCCACAGCCACUCUGGCCCCAUGGACACGGUGCUCCCACAGCCACGCUGACCCUGUGGCCGCGCUGACCCUGUGGCCAUGGUGCUCCCGCAGCCACGCUGACCCCGUGGCCACAGCCCAGAGGAGCAGGAACGGGGCAGAAGAUCCAGAGGAGGAAGAGGAGCAUCCAGCCCGGCCCUUCCCGCAGGGUUUCUCCCGCUCCCGCCGGCCACCGGGGCUGCUGUGGCCUCUCGUGGCCGGCCCAGCCGCCGGGCAGGGGUCCCCGCUGUCCCCGGCGCCCCCGGCUCUGUGUCACUGUGAAGCCCCUCCCCGUGCCCCCGUCCCCUCUAGAUGUGUAGGGAGUUUACAGUCCCCGUUCCCGGCUUGCCAACGAUGCUGCUCCAUCCCCAGCGCGCCCCAGGGCCCUUCUCCGCUCGGAAUGCUCGGGCAGAGCUCCUCUGCUCUGGGAUGGGGCCUCUCUAGCAUUACAGACCCCACAAAUUCUCUAUUUUUUAACUCUCCUCCCACGCCCCGGCGUGCGGGAGCCGUCGGGUUCCGGACGGGGCUAUCACGGGCCUUGUCUAAUAAAUUAACAUUUAUUUUCCUG